GAACACCGGGGAAACAUAUUCAUGUAUAAAAAACGUACAAAAGUGCAUUUUGCAUGAUAGGUCACCUUUAAAGCUUUCACACCCAUGCACCUUAAUCGUAUUCUGGAUUCAUAUUGAUACUUUAGCUGCUUGGGAAUUUUGUUUGUACUGUCACAUUCAUAAUCCCUAUCCCCCUCCCUGUUUACAUCUGUAGAACAUUUGUGUUUUAUAGUUUUUAUAGACUCAAAGGAAUGCUCAUUAAUCUUGCAGGAGAUAGUCACCGCCUUGGCUGGGAAGAAGAACAUAGUUCCUGUCACAGAUAAUUUCAUGUGGCCUGACCCCAUGUCUCUGCCCGAGGACAUGAGGUCAAUUCUCAAUUUCAACGGCAUCAAAUGGUCCCACGAAUAUCAGGAGGCCACGAUCGAGAAGAUCCUACGAUUUCUGAAAGAACAGCAAAACCAAAUCGACUGCAAGGAUGCACCCGAAGGGCAGAAAAAGAAAUAAUCUGACAUUUGAAGUUUGAUUUCAGCUAUAAUGACUUUAAAUUAUGCCAAAUUCAACAUUGCCUACGGUGAAAAGGCCGGCAGCUUUCCCCUGCUCCAAAUGCAUGUGAAGUGAAUCUGAUUAUGUUUAUGCUCACACAAAACCCUGAUAUAAAUUGACGCAGUAUAAUGCAAAUAAUAAAUUAAAAUCAAAAGGGGAUUUCAGAUUGUAUAUAAUAAACUGUAAGCCUUUAAUGAUAUACCCUCGUUCUGCUGUAUAUGUGUGAUCAGGUACAGUAUAUGCCUUCUGUCUCUCAGGAAAAUAACUGUGAUAGAUCAGCUGCUGUUGGCACUCCAGCAAAAUCAUCACUAGCAAUCUUUGAAGCAGUUACUAAUCACAAAUCAUGCAACCACUUUUUGUUUAACUCAUACAUUGGACAUUCAUAUGACCAAAGCAGGUCUCUGACUUUACGGACAUUUGUGCUUUUAUGUUUGAGUUGUCAUAGUUAAGAAACUUUAUAGGAGAUGUGGUCAAUUGAUGAGAGUUUCUAUGGUGGGCUCAAUAUAAACCAGAGGCAUGAAGUAUUGUAUAAAGCUACAUGUUGUAUAACUGCUUCCCUAUUCUAACCAAAUACAGGUUCAAGCAGUGUACAGGCAACAAGAAAAACCCAGUAUUUAAGGAUCUUUUCCUACUCUGUAGUCAACCUAUACACACAUGAGCUCGCAAAAGUCAAAUAUGCACCGUUUACUUCUUGAAUGUGAAAAAGAUCCCAUCUGUGUUACAGCGUGGCUUGUAGAGUGCUGAUACAACAUUAAUCAUGUAGUGCUGCUGACUUGAAGUUUAAUUGAUCACAGUGUUAAGUCUGAGAAGUAAUGUGUCUGCUAUGCCAUUUGUAUGUUAUCCUUGUUUCCUCAGUGUAAUAAACAGAAUCAAAUUAAAUGAAAAAAACCAACAAUAUGUUUGAAUGAAAAUAGAA
Molecule: long non-coding RNA, 1438 nt
Organism: Notothenia coriiceps (black rockcod)
Lineage: Eukaryota; Metazoa; Chordata; Actinopteri; Perciformes; Nototheniidae
Exons: 2
Source: RefSeq, a predicted model, not a curated record